Molecule: ribosomal RNA, 330 nt
Filed under: uncultured eukaryote
Lineage: Eukaryota
Description: partial 18S ribosomal RNA
Rfam family: Eukaryotic small subunit ribosomal RNA
Source: RNAcentral
CCCUUAGAUGUUCUGGGCCGCACGCGCGCUACACUGAUGAAUUCAACGAGCUCCUAACCUAGGCCGAAGGGUCCGGGUAAUCUUUGAAAUUUCAUCGUGAUGGGGAUAGAUUAUUGCAAUUAUUAAUCUUCAACGAGGAAUUCCUAGUAAGCGCGAGUCAUCAGCUCGCGUUGAUUACGUCCCUGCCCUUUGUACACACCGCCCGUCGCUCCUACCGAUUGGAUGGUCCGGUGAAAUGUUCGGACCGCGACAAGGCGGACGGUUCGCUGUCAGCUUUGCUGCGGGAAGUUCAUUAAACCUUAUCAUUUAGAGGAAGGAGAAGUCGUAACA